UCUUAGACAAUGGGGGAAACCCUGAUCUAGCCAUGCCGCGUGAGUGAUGAAGGCCUUAGGGUUGUAAAGCUCUUUCAGCUGGGAAGAUAAUGACGGUACCAGCAGAAGAAGCCCCGGCUAACACCGUGCCAGCAUCCGCGGUAAUACGGAGUGGGCUAGCGUUGUUCGGAAUAACUGGGCGUAAAGCGCACGUAGGCGGACCGGAAAGUUGGAGGUGAAAUCCCAGGGCUCAACCUUGGAACUGCCUUCAAAACUAUCGGUCUGGAGUUCGAGAGAGGUGAGUGGAAUUCCGAGUGUAGGGGUGAAAUUCGUAGAUAGUCGGAGGAACACCAGUGGCGAAGGCGGCUCACUGGCUCGAUACUGACGCUGAGGUGCGAAAGCGUGGGGAGCAAACAG
RNAcentral lists this ribosomal RNA (396 nucleotides) under uncultured bacterium. RNAcentral describes it as "bacterial SSU rRNA". It matches the Rfam family "Bacterial small subunit ribosomal RNA", at positions 362 to 775 of the family's 1533-position model. The record is from RNAcentral.